This 123-nucleotide non-coding RNA is filed under the name Mycobacterium sp. Its description in RNAcentral is "SAM-IV sequence". It matches the Rfam family "SAM (S-adenosyl methionine) riboswitch aptamer". From Rfam's summary of the family: SAM-IV is a mRNA element that regulates gene expression via direct sensing of S-adenosylmethionine (SAM or AdoMet). SAM-IV riboswitches share conserved nucleotide positions with the previously described SAM-I riboswitches sequence analysis and molecular recognition experiments suggest that SAM-I and SAM-IV riboswitches share similar ligand binding sites, but have different scaffolds. The record is from RNAcentral. Lineage: Bacteria; Bacillati; Actinomycetota; Actinomycetes; Mycobacteriales; Mycobacteriaceae.
GGUCAUGAGUGCCAGCGACAAGCCCCGGCUUGCUGGUCGGCAACCCUCCAACCGCGGUGGGGUGCCCCGGGUGAUGACCAGGUUGAGUAACCGCUAACGAGCGGCUGCCGGCAAGCGCGGGUC